GAGGAGGAGCCAAGAUGGCAGAACAGCAUGGAAGUUUUUUGUGUGUCUCACGUCCAUGAAAUACAGCCAGACCAACACUAAACCGUCCUGCACACCUAGAAAACGGAUCUGAGGAUUAACACAACAAUCUGCACAACCUGAACCACAGAACUCAGCAGCUGGUAACAGGUGCAUGCCCAAGCCCAGGGUUCGAAGAGGAAGAAAUUGCAAGUGGACAAGGCUGUCUCAGCUUGAGCCCAGGACUUUCUAGUGAGCUACGAGUUUCCUGUGGCCCCAGCCUAGCCCGGCACCAUGGAGAAGAUCAGCUCUUUCUUCAGCAUCAUUUGGGACACCAUCUUGACCAAACACCAACAGGGCCUCUUUAACACCAUCUGCCUGGGCAUCCUGCUGGGGCUGCCACUACUAGUGGUCAUGACAUUCAUCUUCAUCUGUUGCCACUGCUGCUGGAGCCGGCCAGGCAAGAGUGGCCCACAGCCAGAGCGAAACAAAGGGAAGAAGAAAAAGAAGAAGAGGAAGGCCGAGGAAGACCUCUGGAUCUCUGCUCAGCCCAAGCUUCUCCAGAUGGAAAAGAGGCCAUCACUGCCUGUCUAGUUAGGCAGGGAGCAGAGGCGUCCUUCCUCGGGGACUAAGCCACCUUCCAAACACACACGGGCUAGAGAGCAGCAAUGCCCAAAGUGAUGCACUCAUGUCCACAGAGGAACUAACCAAGGGACGAACCUCAGGCUGAGCGUCCCCGUGGAGGACACCCCAGAAAGAAUAUGGACAGUUCUUGGGCACUGUCUUGGCAGCUAUGUGUCCAAUAACAAUGCUCUUUACCACAGACUCAGGCAUCCUUUCCACCUGCAUCCCGCAAGCUCCAUCCGCAAAAGUACAAGGAACGUUUGUCCAUACAUCUUGACACGUCUCCCAAAUGCACACACAUGCCCACCAUGCACACAAUAGUGCCCACACGCACACACAUAUACACACGUGUGUGAAUUCAGGCAACAGGUACCUGGGCAAAUAUAUUCUGUUCAUCAAAUGGCCAUUGACGACCUACUUUGUACAAGUACAUCAUCUUCUCUCCCAAAAAUUUCUCAUAGGAAGGCCUGGCCGGAUUCGGGCACACGUGCACAAUUACAUACCCAGAUAAGGUACCUGUCCACUGUCUACUCCAUACGCCACUCAGGUUAGAGAUAUGUGUUUUCCUAUUCCUAUCCCCACACAACCUUUUACUGGAAAUCCUCGUGUUUGGGCACUCCAGCAAUAUACAACUGUAUCAGGUUGUGCAUCGACACAGACACGCCAAGUUCCUGUGUUUCUCACAUGGGAGAAAAAGUUUCAAGUGAGGUGGAUCAAAAUCCAUUGAAAGCUGUAUCUUGCAACUCAUGACAAGGUCCCCAUCACCACGGAUCAGUAUCGAAUGCUGUCUAAGACCUCUUUUUGAGACGCUACCCCCAGAACCACUCAGCAAGGUGCCCUUCUCCAAGCACAAACUAACAGCUCUUGGUGGUGACUUCUAGAAUGUUCUGGAAACCAAGGAUACUCCAUUCACUUCCGUGAACUGCAGUUGUGAGCCUGUGCAAUGUUUUACAGACGGGAAGGAGAUGCUACAUCUGACAGACACCUGACCUAGGGAUUUCCUAUGUAACCAAAGCUUCUCAGCAGGGAAGGAAUUGAGGCAAUAUCCGGUACAGUCUGGCGGAAGGCACACUGGAAACAAUUUCAUAAGGUUGUAAUGGAUGUGUGGCAUGUUGCAGAUGGGAUACAGAAGUUACAGAGUUUAAAUGAAAGUAGAGCGAAGCUAUAUAGAGGUUUAUUAAUAUUUAUCUUGAAGCUCAGGCAAGUGCCUUGCACACAGUAGGUACUCAGAACUGUCUGUGGAUGCUGUUGGAUACAUGAUGAUGUUGAGGGUCAACGUGUAAUACCUCGCCAAUCCCCCCGAGUGACCUUCUGUUCUGAGCCCGCUAAUUGCUCCAACGGAUGGAAGUUGGGUAUUGAGUGCCUCACAGGCAUGCGCAGAACCGACAGUCAGAUUGGCCUGUGCGCCCCGAGAUCCACGACUGAGUUGAGGCGAGUGUCUCCCCACCAGGCUGAGGUUGGGAGGCCGAGUUAACCCACAUACGUGAGGAGAUGGUUGGUAUUUUGAUUGUAUUGUGACUAUAUGACAAAGAUGGAUAAUUCCCAAAUCGGAAGCGGGUUGUGCUCUAAAAGGUCACUUGCAAAUCUGCUGGGUAGCUCUCUUGAAAUAUUUUCCCACAGAAGCUGUUCUAGGAGGCAGUAAAAUUGCAAUUUAAUUAACAAUGUAGCUAAACUAUGAUAUCUAUAGUAGCAAGAAGCUAAAUUCUGCAGGAUUGUGUUCAUGGCAAAAUGUCCUCCGUUUGCUCUCUUGCGCUGCCUGGUACUCACCUGCCCUCCAGGUAUUCUCCGGGCCUGUGGGGGCAGGCAUCUCACGGUGACUGCUGCAUCCGUCUUCUAACGGCGACCCUGUGAGGCAGAAUUCAGGCCUUCCCGUGUUUUAAAACCAGUCGCAUCCACCUUCUCACACCAGGUGGCCCCAAAUGCCCUGGCUGCUCAGACCCCCUAGUCAUAAGCCCCUUCUAGCAGAGAAAGAAGCACUCUCUGGCUGGCUGUCCCCUUGUACAGGGACGGCUCGUCAUGGAGCAGCUGGCUGUCCCCUUCCCAUCACAGGACGAUUGCUCAUCGCCCCACACCAAAUGCACAUGCCUCCCCACGCCCUUCCUGCCCCCCUAAGACGGAUGACCUUGGGGAGACACGGAGCUGACGGCUGAGGCUGGGUGUCAGAUGCGAUCUAGGAGAAAGGAUCGCUCGGAUCCGGGACCACACAAGUAACAUGGUUGCCAUGGCAACUGGCUGCUAGCUUGAAUUAAGACGGCAGUCAGUCAGCUGUCAUUGCCGGGACGAGGCCUCUGUCUCCAGGUGCAGCACCCCACUGUCCCCUAAUCAAAUGGAUUUGAACUACCUCCAGGCGCGAAACACCCAGAAGCUCUCUUCUCACUUGUUUCCAUAGCCCAGGACUUAGGAGACCCAGAUGCUGAACGAGGCUUAUGUUUUCCCCACCCCCGCCGCCUCCCUGAUAGCCUUCACCAGGGUCCCCCCAACACCAUCCAGGGUGCCAUAGGCCCCCAAACUUCUGUGGAGUAAGUGGGUCCAUGAAAGGAGCCCCGUGAAGUCACUGGAGUCACUCCCUGUUCCUCCCAUCAUCCUUAUCUUCCUCUCCCAUGUUUCCUUCUCGUCUCAUUCCUGCUUCUCCCGGCACCCCCACCCCGGGUCCACCCCUUAUUCCUCUUCACUUUUACUCCUUCUCCCCAACCAGCACAGGCUUGGGGAGGAGUCCCCGGGCCGAGAUCUGAACAACUCCAGCCAAACACAUCCACUGUCAUCAGAGAAGGCCUCCUCCCCGCUGCUCAAUGUAUUCUGGUGGCUUUUUUAUUUCUUGGGGGGGGGGGGGCGGGGGAGUGGGGAAUGUAGAGAAAGGGCAGUCACCUUCUCAAGAAGAGUAUAAAUGGUCCAAGCGGUAUAGUGUUUGUCAGAACUUUUUUUCUAGAAAAUUCAAACACAUGCAAAAGAAAAAUUUAUUUAAAUAAAAUAUUUGGAAGACAGCAGCGCCUGGCCUCCUUACCUGCUGGCAUCAGUUACUUUCUUGACAGUAAAUAUUUCCCUCUCCCAGACAUCACUCAGAAAUGACAGAGGCAUGGACUCCCGCUAGGACACAAAAGGCCCAGCUGUCCCUGGACACUGUCUUCCCCCUGACAGAGUCAUAGGUCAAAGGACCAGGACCAGGCUCUCACAUCACUGCCUCCAGAGAGGACACCUCAGAGGCUAGACAUCCUCCGAGGUGCUGGCUGCAGGAAAAACACUGACGCUCCUUGGCAACUCUUAGAGAGCGUUCCCUUCGAUGAGGGAGUACCUCGGGGACUGAUGUCAUUUCCAUUUUAUAAACCAAGAAUAUGAGGCCCACAGAAGGUAAGUAACUCACCCAGACCCGAGAUGGAAACCAAAGUCUUCAGAAUCCCGUCCUAGUGGCCCUUCACACACCAGCCAUCAUGAUCCAGCCUAAUCGGAUUUGGGUUCCUCAAAAACUUGUUAACUUGCAAUACCUACUUUGAGUCAGAAACCUUUUGAACACAAUCAAGAGCUAUGCCCACAAGGCUGUAGAGCACCCAGAUGUCUCCUUCAGGUGCUCCACAGCAAGCCUCACCUGCCUCCUUAGCCUUGUCUAAUUAAACCUGAUUUUCUUCACUUACACAAAUAAAGAACCGUUUCCACU
Molecule: RNA transcript, 4270 nt
Organism: Lynx canadensis (Canada lynx)
Lineage: Eukaryota; Metazoa; Chordata; Mammalia; Carnivora; Felidae
Gene name: KIAA0040 ortholog
Exons: 3
Source: RefSeq, a predicted model, not a curated record